AGAAUGAUGUCUAUCUCAUCUGAGGUACAGAGCAUGCCAGUAGCAAAGUGUAAAACACCCCAUCUCACCCUCUGGAGUAUGUGUCUUAUCAGUGCAUCUAGGGUACCUGCCAAUUUAUGUCCAUUAAUUUCAAAUAAAAUAUCAGCAAUAUAAUGGACCAACAUUAAGGUCCAUGGGAUACUGAGAUGAUCCAGAUGCUUUUGAAUAAUGUUGUAACAGAUAUCAG
Molecule: long non-coding RNA, 226 nt
Filed under: Pan troglodytes (chimpanzee)
Lineage: Eukaryota; Metazoa; Chordata; Mammalia; Primates; Hominidae
Description: long non-coding RNA NONPTRT016760
Source: RNAcentral